UCAGUCCCAGCCAAGCCACAUGGACUGAGAGUCAUGGGGAGACCUAGGGAAAUUAAAUAACUCACAAACACCUGUAAAAACUGUUACAGUGACUGGUGUGUGUGAUAGAGGGCCAUGGGCCUGUGAAAGCUGCAGGAGGGAAAUCGCUUACUCAGGGAGAGCCUGGGGAAAUCCUGCCGGAACUGAGGCCUCUGCAGGGUGAGCAGGAGGGACUGGAGUUCCAGGCAGAGGGAACAGCAUGUACAAAGGCCCUGUGGCAAGAGGGAGUGUGGAGCGAGAGAAAGGCCAGCGUGCUGGAAUCAGAUAUUGGACAAGGAGAAGCCAGAUCAAGGCUGUGUUCGGAACUCUUUGCUUUAUCUUAAGAGCAAUGGAAAGCCAUCAGAGGUUAUAAGCAAGGAUGAGGUACAAGGAAAUGCUAGAACUAGUGAUCUCACCCAGCCUCACUGUAAACAGCGAUUGUCUGGAUAAACUG
Molecule: small RNA, 472 nt
Filed under: Pan troglodytes (chimpanzee)
Lineage: Eukaryota; Metazoa; Chordata; Mammalia; Primates; Hominidae
Description: processed transcript
Source: RNAcentral